GGAGAGAUGGCUCAGUGGUUAAGAGCACUGACUGCUCUUCCAGAGGUCCUGAGUUCGACUCCCAGUAACCACA
RNAcentral lists this transfer RNA (73 nucleotides) under Mus musculus (house mouse). RNAcentral describes it as "tRNA-Ser". The record is from RNAcentral. Lineage: Eukaryota; Metazoa; Chordata; Mammalia; Rodentia; Muridae.